GUAGUUUGAUCGUGGCUCAGAUUGAACGCUGGCGGCAUGCCUUACACAUGCAAGUCGAACGGCAGCAUGAUCUAGCUUGCUAGAUUGAUGGCGAGUGGCGAACGGGUGAGUAAUACAUCGGAACGUGCCCUGUAGUGGGGGAUAACUAGUCGAAAGAUUAGCUAAUACCGCAUACGACCUGAGGGUGAAAGUGGGGGACCGCAAGGCCUCAUGCUAUAGGAGCGGCCGAUGUCUGAUUAGCUAGUUGGUGGGGUAAAGGCCCACCAAGGCGACGAUCAGUAGCUGGUCUGAGAGGACGAUCAGCCACACUGGGACUGAGACACGGCCCAGACUCCUACGGGAGGCAGCAGUGGGGAAUUUUGGACAAUGGGCGAAAGCCUGAUCCAGCAAUGCCGCGUGUGUGAAGAAGGCCUGGUUGUAAGC
Molecule: ribosomal RNA, 423 nt
Filed under: uncultured microorganism
Description: bacterial SSU rRNA
Rfam family: Bacterial small subunit ribosomal RNA
Source: RNAcentral